Molecule: transfer RNA, 71 nt
Filed under: Candidatus Pacearchaeota archaeon
Lineage: Archaea; Nanobdellati
Description: tRNA-Trp
Rfam family: tRNA
About the family: Transfer RNA (tRNA) molecules are approximately 80 nucleotides in length. Their secondary structure includes four short double-helical elements and three loops (D, anti-codon, and T loops). Further hydrogen bonds mediate the characteristic L-shaped molecular structure. tRNAs have two regions of fundamental functional importance: the anti-codon, which is responsible for specific mRNA codon recognition, and the 3' end, to which the tRNAs corresponding amino acid is attached (by aminoacyl-tRNA synthetases). tRNAs cope with the degeneracy of the genetic code in two manners: having more than one tRNA (with a specific anti-codon) for a particular amino acid; and 'wobble' base-pairing, i.e. permitting non-standard base-pairing at the 3rd anti-codon position.
Source: RNAcentral
GGGUGCGUGGUUCAAUGGUAGAAUACCUGCCUCCAGAGCAGAAGACGGGGGUUCGAUUCCCUCCGCGCCCA